CGAGGGUUCCACGUCGCAUUUCUGGCAUAACGGCGUACUGGGAGACGUGCUUCAACUUAUACUUACACCGUCGGCAUCGAUCUCGGAGAACGACAUAGAGGACUGUUACUACGAAGCGGAAUAUUAUGGAUUGGAGGACAAAUGCACUCAUUAUAACCACGACUGCCCUUUUAGUCUGCUUGAUUUUAUUUCACUGUCAAUAAAUAGUCAUGAAUAGUUAGCAUAGUAUAUAGCAAUUUUA
This is a long non-coding RNA of Papilio polytes (common Mormon), 241 nucleotides long. RefSeq lists it as uncharacterized. Lineage: Eukaryota; Metazoa; Arthropoda; Insecta; Lepidoptera; Papilionidae. The transcript is spliced from 2 exons. The record is from RefSeq and is a predicted model, not a curated record.